UUGAACUUACUGUAGGUUCACGGAGUGAC
Molecule: non-coding RNA, 29 nt
Filed under: Homo sapiens (human)
Lineage: Eukaryota; Metazoa; Chordata; Mammalia; Primates; Hominidae
Source: RNAcentral